UUCAAAGGUAGCCCAGCUAAAAGCGCGACGUCCUGUCGCAACGCUGGACACGGUACAUCCUGUACG
Non-coding RNA from Tumebacillus sp., 66 nucleotides. NCBI's taxonomy places the organism in Bacteria, Bacillati, Bacillota, Bacilli, Caryophanales, Alicyclobacillaceae. The record is from Rfam.